RNAcentral lists this transfer RNA (63 nucleotides) under Tenerus flavicollis. RNAcentral describes it as "tRNA-Gly". The record is from RNAcentral. Lineage: Eukaryota; Metazoa; Arthropoda; Insecta; Coleoptera; Cleridae.
AUUUAUAUAGUAUAUUCAUUAUAUUUGACUUCCAAUCAAAAGAUCUAUAAUUUAGUAUAAAUA